GUCUAUGGUCAUACCACCCUGAACGCGCCCGAUCUCGUCUGAUCUCGGAAGCUAAGCAGGGUUGGGCUUGGUUAGUACUUGGAUGGGAGACCACCUGGGAAUACCAGGUGCUAUAGGCU
This 119-nucleotide ribosomal RNA is filed under the name Moschus moschiferus (Siberian musk deer). Lineage: Eukaryota; Metazoa; Chordata; Mammalia; Artiodactyla; Moschidae. The record is from RNAcentral.